This 40-nucleotide non-coding RNA is filed under the name Schistosoma bovis. Lineage: Eukaryota; Metazoa; Platyhelminthes; Trematoda; Strigeidida; Schistosomatidae. The record is from RNAcentral. RNAcentral also lists the same sequence under 1 other name.
CUGCUGAGGAGUCCCACAAUAGGACGAAACGGCCUUCUAG